UAAGGAAUAGAGAAAAAUAGUGUGCUUUGAUAUAAGGAACAGAGAAAAAUUACCCAAAACAUCAAAGAAUACAGAAUUUGAUUACCCCCUCCGACGCUUAAGGAAACAUGGAAUGACAAUUUAUCCUUGUCUCUUCGGGCCCUUUAACUGAGUGAUCAAAGAUGAUGGUCAGAUAUAACUGGUAUUUAUUUUUUUCAAAUUGUGCGCC
This 208-nucleotide long non-coding RNA is filed under the name Mytilus galloprovincialis (Mediterranean mussel). Lineage: Eukaryota; Metazoa; Mollusca; Bivalvia; Mytilida; Mytilidae. The record is from RNAcentral.